This is an RNA transcript of Sorghum bicolor (sorghum), 2593 nucleotides long. It is a transcript of the gene named glucose-1-phosphate adenylyltransferase large subunit 1, with no coding region annotated. Lineage: Eukaryota; Viridiplantae; Streptophyta; Magnoliopsida; Poales; Poaceae. The transcript is spliced from 17 exons. The record is from RefSeq and is a predicted model, not a curated record.
AUUCAGAGCCGGGUCACCGCCGAACGGCCGGCCAAGGUCUCGUGACUUGAGCCGCGAGCUGGGAUCCGAAAACACCCCCGUGCCCCCACGCGCCUCCCCACUCUUCUCGGUUCCCCCACACCGCUCCAUUCCGUUACAAAACCCCAAGCUGCAACCCCACUGACAGAGACACAGAGAGAGAGAGAGAGGCUCUCCCGGACUCCCGGUUCCCCCCUGCCUGCGCGGCGCGCGGCGCCUCCUCCCCCCCGUCUCCCGUACGUAACAGUACCACCGGCUGCACGGCCGAUGGCGUGCCCCGCGGCGCCGCACGCGAGCGCGGCCUUCCUCGCCAGCCCCGCGGCGCCGCUGCCCGCGCGCCGCGCCUCGCCCCCGGCCGCGGCCCCGCGCCGCGCGUUGUCGGCCGCCGCCACCACCACAACCAGCUUCGUCCUCGCCGACGCCCCCCGGGGGAUCAAGGAGGAGCAGGCGGACGCGGGCGCUCAGGCGGCGGCGGUGGCGCGGAGGGACGUCAGCCCGGACACGGUGGCCUCCAUCAUCCUCGGCGGUGGCGCUGGUACGCGCCUCUUCCCGCUCACGCGGACCAGAGCCAAGCCCGCGGUGCCCGUCGGGGGAUGCUACAGGCUCAUCGACAUCCCGAUGAGCAACUGCAUAAACAGCAAGAUCAACAAGAUCUACGUCCUCACCCAGUUCAAUUCCCAGUCUCUCAAUCGCCACAUCGCACGGACAUACAACUUUGGCGAGGGAGUUGGAUUCAGUGGUGGGUCUGUGGAGGUGCUGGCAGCUACACAGACAGCUGGGGAAUCCGGAAAGAAAUGGUUCCAGGGAACAGCAGAUGCUGUCAGGCAGUUCCUCUGGCUUUUUGAGGACGCAAGACUCAAAUGUAUAGAAAACAUACUGAUUCUGUCUGGUGAUCAUCUGUAUAGGAUGGAUUACAUGGACUUUGUGCAGAAGCAUGUUGACUCUGGUGCUGAUAUUUCAGUUGCGUGUGUUCCUAUGGAUGAAAGUCGAGCAUCUGAUUUUGGAUUGAUGAAGGCCGACAGGAAUGGUCGCAUCACUGAUUUCCUUGAAAAGCCCAAGGGUGAAAAUUUGAAAUCAAUGCAAGUGGAUAUGGGAUUGUUUGGAUUAUCCCCAGAGUUUGCAAGUACAUACAAAUACAUGGCUUCAAUGGGAAUAUAUGUAUUUAAGGCAGAUGUUCUCAGAAAGCUUCUGAGAGGGCAUUAUCCUACUGCUAAUGAUUUUGGCUCAGAAGUGAUUCCAAUGGCUGCAAAAGAUUAUGAUGUGCAGGCUUAUUUGUUUGAUGGUUACUGGGAAGAUAUUGGGACAAUAAAGUCUUUCUUUGAAGCAAACCUUGCUCUCACCGAUCAGUUUCCCAACUUCUAUUUUUAUGAUCCCGUGAAGCCUAUUUUUACAUCUCCUAGAUUUUUACCUCCAACCAAGGUAGAAAAUUGCAAGGUUUUGAACUCUAUAAUUUCACAUGGCUGCUUUCUAACCGAGUGCAGUGUUGAGCACUCUGUCAUUGGUAUCCGCUCAAGAUUAGAACUGGGGGUGCAGCUCAAGGACACCAUGAUGAUGGGGGCAGAUUACUACCAGACUGAAGUUGAGAGAUUAUCUGAACUGUCAGUUGGAAAAGUUCCAGUUGGUGUUGGAGAGAACACUAAAAUAAGGAACUGUAUCAUUGAUAAAAAUGCUCGAAUUGGGAAGAAUGUAGUCAUUAUGAACUCUGAGAAUGUGCAAGAAGCAGACAGGACAGCUGAAGGAUAUUACAUUCGUUCUGGGAUAACUGUGGUGCUCAAGAAUGCAGUAAUUCUGAAUGGUACAACAAUUUAGAAGAUAUAGAGUUAUCUGCAGGUUGGGGUCGACGUUCCUGGGUCGAGGGUCAAUGCCGUUGGACCCGUUUUUUAUGACUAUAUCAUCCUCAGAUCACUCAUGCUAAGUAUAGCAGUGGAAAGAUCUGUACAUAAAUCCUUACUAUCUACCAAACAUCAUCGUGGAUAAAAAGGUUGUCAGGGGAAAGAUUUGUUUCUUGUAUGUAUUGGGAACAUGCUCAACAAACAUGCUCAACAAAUGUAUUGAUGCUCAGGGGCAAAUUUUCCCUAGAUUGAGCUACCCUAGUGCCAAGAAUAUCAAUCCCUCAAUGAAGUGUUACCUCUGAAACACCCCAUUGAAGCUCAGUCACAGCAGAGUUCUACGCAGAUGCAAUCAAUAAAACCCAAUAGCACAAAAGAUUACAAGACUGUCGAUGCAGCUAAGUACUGGAGAGCACCUGCAACUGCAACACACCAACAGUUCUGCCAGACCAUGAACAUGAGGCCAUUGCACGUUCUUUCACCUCAGCUAGUGCCGGCGCGGUGGCACGCACAGAGGGUACCUUUCUUCCCUUUUUUGCAGCAAUUUACUUAAAGUGUACAGGCGAGAGAUAGGUACAGUACGAGAGAGCAUGCUAUAUAUAGUACAUUCUAGUCUACUGUGAUGAAGUCUCCUGAUUCUGCUCCACUCAUAGUCCAGUACUCUUAGUGAAAAGUACCCACUCUUAUUUGUUUGGCGUUUGCCAAACCUUCAUAAUUUGAACAACUCAAUUCAUCCCAAAUUAUAA